GUGUGUUGUCUUUGCUUUUUUUAGCUGCAGAGUUCUCCGGCUGCUCCGCUCCGGGACCGAGAGGACUGAAGUUAAAAAUCUUCAGCACAGUUUUCUGUGUAAGAAAAGAAAAGACAAGGACUCCUCUUCUUCUGUGCUCCUCAUCGUCAUCCCGUCUGAUAUCUGAGUCCAUCGGUCAGGCAGCUCUGAGAGGGAUUACACGAACGGGUCCAUGGAAGGGAACUACGAGGAUCACGAGGGCUCCUUCAUGUUUACCUCUGAGUCAGUGGGAGAGGGACAUCCUGCAGAAGUCAAACAUAGGAAACAGAAGGUGUGCAGGUUGGUGUCAGUGUGUCGGUGCUUUGACCAUCUGAUGGAGUUACAGUGAACGGCAUGAGAGUGACACCACUCUACAGUCUAUUCAUAGAACAGGAGCUCGUCACUGUAGUGAUGUGCAGCUCUCUGAUGGAAAUGAGAUCUACCCCCAUGAGGAAUGUGACAUCUGCAGCACACGGUCACACGAGGACACCUCCAGACUCAGAGUGAUGCAUGAUUUAAUUCAUCACUUUUCUCUUUGUUUUUUUUUAAUCCAGAUAAGAUCUGCGAUCAGAUCAGUGAUGCUGUGCUUGACGCUCACCUGAAGCAGGACCCCGACGCUAAAGUGGCCUGUGGUGAGCAAUGAUGUGUUCACUCCACCAGAGGUCAGUGAUACACUUUUACAGCGGCUCUUUAUUUUUCUGUAUGUUGAAAACAGAGACGGUGUGUAAGACGGGCAUGGUGCUGCUGUGCGGUGAGAUCACAUCACGAGCCAACGUGGACUAUCAGAAGGUGGUGAGAGACACCAUCAGAGACAUCGGCUACGACAACUCCAACAAAGGUCACCGCGAUCUCAUGAGUUUACUCCUCUGCUCCGAUUCCUCAUGCAUACUUAGAAUUCAUGGGCGGUCAGGAGAAGCCCCUCCUUUAAUGUCAAAAUGAUAAACUCUGCACGUCUCCUGUCCUCCUCUCAUGUCUCUGUCCGUCCAGGUUUUGACUAUAAGACCUGUAACGUGCUGGUAGCUCUCGAGGAGCAGUCUCCUGACAUCGCUCAGGGAGUUCACAUCGAUCGUCCAGAGACC
This is a non-coding RNA of Labrus bergylta (ballan wrasse), 1097 nucleotides long. The record is from RefSeq and is a predicted model, not a curated record. Lineage: Eukaryota; Metazoa; Chordata; Actinopteri; Labriformes; Labridae.